Molecule: long non-coding RNA, 953 nt
Organism: Zalophus californianus (California sea lion)
Lineage: Eukaryota; Metazoa; Chordata; Mammalia; Carnivora; Otariidae
Exons: 4
Source: RefSeq, a predicted model, not a curated record
CAGGGGCUGCCGGGAGCCACAGAGGGAAGAAAGCUACUGACUUCUGGAUUCCCUUGAUCCUCAAGAGCUGGGCCUCUCCCCGGGAGCCGGAAACAGAAAGUUGCUUCCCAACUCUGAAUGUCUGAAUCUCCCAGAUGAUCCGAAUCAGCGGAUUAGAAACCAGAAUCACACUGGUUAGAAACCCAGACUCCGGAUAUCCUUCCACUCCUGGCCAGCUAAGUCAAAAUCUCCGCACCGAGACCCGGAAUCUGGAUUUAACCAGAGAAAGAAGCUGGAGUGGUUGUUGAAAGACGGCACCUAGGCGAUUGACCCAAGGCUUACAGCCUGGACCUCUGACGACUGCUGAGUAAGAACUUGACAGACCACUCCACCACAGCCUACCCCGCAAGGUGGGUGAAAUGGAUGAAGGUGAUCAAAAGCUUUUGCAGAUGGUAUUCAGGAACAAGGCAUCUGUAUCUCCCUGUGGGGAGGAAAAAACACAACAACAACAACAAAAAACAGGCUCUUCUGGACCCAUGAGCUCCCUGUGUAGCUGCUGUGUAAUCAAGAAGCUGGAGGUAGCAGGACCCAACCCCUCUGCCCAACUCACCUUGAGCCAAGAGCCUCUUUCAUACGCAUUCUAGUCACAUCCUCAAAAAGGGAAACACGAUUGGUCAAUAAAUGCAAGAAAAAUGUCCAGCCACUCUAAGUUUUACCGUUCACAUUAUCAAAGAUUUUUUUAAAUUGUUAUGCUUGGUUUUAUAAGGCUACGAUAAGAUACACUCAUAUAUAAUUUGGUGGGAGGAGGGGGAGUAAGAGAUAUUUUUGUAUAUUUAUGUGAUUGAAUGAUGUAUGUCCAUUAAAAUUAAAAUUGUGGAAGAAUAUUUAAUAUAGGGAACCCUCCUGUGAUAUUAAUGAAAAAACAGAUUAUAAAAUAUCAUCUCUGGUGUAAUUCUAUGUUUUUUAAAAAUAUA